CCGUCGUGGGCGUAGGAAAUUUGAGAGGAGCUGUCCUUAGUACGAGAGGACCGGGAUGGACAUACCUCUGGUGUACCAGUUGUCGUGCCAACGGCAUAGCUGGGUAGCUAUGUAUGGACGGGAUAAGUGCUGAAAGCAUCUAAGCAUGAAGCCCCCCUCAAGAUGAGAUUUCCCAACUUCGGUUAUAAGAUCCCUCGAAGAUGACGAGGUUAAUAGGUUCGAGGUGGAAGCGUGGUGACACGUGGAGCUGACGAAUACUAAUCGAUCGAAGACUUAAUCAA
This 281-nucleotide ribosomal RNA is filed under the name Staphylococcus epidermidis NIHLM018. RNAcentral describes it as "partial 23S ribosomal RNA". It matches the Rfam family "Bacterial large subunit ribosomal RNA", at positions 2642 to 2925 of the family's 2925-position model. Lineage: Bacteria; Bacillati; Bacillota; Bacilli; Caryophanales; Staphylococcaceae. The record is from RNAcentral.